CCACCAUAAGAGGGACAUUUUGGAACAACUUGAUAUCGAACGGUUGCGGGACGGUCUUCUAGCAACCGAGCGUGUACGAGCAAUUCAAGAAGAGCUGGCGGGAUUCUUAGUUGAGCAAGUCUUAGCUCCAGACGGAGAACAUUAUGUGGCCGACAUCCAGUAUCAAAGUUGAUGUAGACAUAUAUAUAUGCAUGAACGUGUGUCACUUUGAUCGAUAUAUGUAAUAUAAUGGUUUCCUAUAUAUAUAUA
Molecule: long non-coding RNA, 249 nt
Organism: Lolium rigidum
Lineage: Eukaryota; Viridiplantae; Streptophyta; Magnoliopsida; Poales; Poaceae
Exons: 2
Source: RefSeq, a predicted model, not a curated record